GGAUCUAUUUAAACCUCAAGCCCUAAGGAUUGAGAGAAGAGCCAAGAGAAUCCAUGCCCCACCUAGCUGUGUGCCCUCUCUCCUCAUGCCCUUUCUCUCUCACAUCCUCUCUCACGUAUGCACGCAAGAAGGAGAAAAAGGAGGCAUCCUUCUUUCUUACACACCAAGAGAGAGAAAUUGUUCCCUCUCUUCUUCCUUUCAUCUGGAUCAAAAGUUGGUUCGAGUUUGAGGGUUGAAUCCAAGAUUUUGUGUGCUAAUUUUUUUUUAAAAAAAAAUAUCAAAAUUAGAAGAGCAUCCCAGACCAUUUCUAUAUGGAUAUCUGUAGAGGUCGGAUACGUAUGCGGCUUCAAAGGAACCUGUGAAGACAUCCACGAUCAUUGAAUCAUGGUGA
RNAcentral lists this long non-coding RNA (391 nucleotides) under Elaeis guineensis (African oil palm). Its description in RNAcentral is "long non-coding RNA (EGUI_LNC003828)". Lineage: Eukaryota; Viridiplantae; Streptophyta; Magnoliopsida; Arecales; Arecaceae. The record is from RNAcentral.